CCUACGGGAGGCAGCAGUGGGGAAUAUUGGGCAAUGGGCGCAAGCCUGACCCAGUAACGCCGCGUGAAGGAAGAAGGCUUUCGGGUUGUAAACUUCUUUUGUCAGGGACGAAGCAAGUGACGGUACCUGACGAAUAAGCCACGGAUAACUACGUGCCAGCAGCCGCGGUAAUACGUAGGUGGCAAGCUUUAUCCGGAUUUACUGGGUGUAAAGGGCGGGUAGGCGGGACUGCAAGUCAGUUGUGAAAACCACGGGCUCAACCUGUGGCCUGCAUUUGAAACUGUAGUUCUUGAGUACUGGAGAGGCAGACGGAAUUCCUAGUGGAGCGGUGAAAUGCGUAGAGAUUAGGAGGAACGCCAGUGGCGAAGGCGGUCUGCUGGACAGCAACUGACGCUGAGGCGCGAAAGCGUGGGGAGCAAACAGGAUUAGAUACCCGUGUAGUC
RNAcentral lists this ribosomal RNA (443 nucleotides) under uncultured bacterium. RNAcentral's name for it is "partial 16S ribosomal RNA". It matches the Rfam family "Bacterial small subunit ribosomal RNA", at positions 338 to 795 of the family's 1533-position model. The record is from RNAcentral.